This is a non-coding RNA of Ictidomys tridecemlineatus (thirteen-lined ground squirrel), 69 nucleotides long. NCBI's taxonomy places the organism in Eukaryota, Metazoa, Chordata, Mammalia, Rodentia, Sciuridae. The record is from Rfam.
GGGGUUGUGGCUCAGUGGUAGAGCACUCAUCUAACACAUGUGAGUCGCUGGGUUUGAUCUUCAGCACCA